RNAcentral lists this ribosomal RNA (497 nucleotides) under uncultured bacterium. Its description in RNAcentral is "partial 16S ribosomal RNA". It matches the Rfam family "Bacterial small subunit ribosomal RNA", at positions 28 to 507 of the family's 1533-position model. The record is from RNAcentral.
GAUGAACGCUGGCGGCGUGCCUAAUACAUGCAAGUCGAGCGAACAGACGAGGAGCUUGCUCCUCUGACGUUAGCGGCGGACGGGUGAGUAACACGUGGAUAACCUACCUAUAAUACUGGGUAAACUUCGGGAAACCGGCGCCAAUACUGGCUAAUAUAUUGAACCGCAUUGUUCAAUAGUCAAUGUCGGUUUUGCUGUCACUUUUAGACGGAUUCGUGCCGCAUUAUCUAGUUGGUAAGGUAACGGCUUACCAAGGCAACGAUGCGUAGCCGACCUGAGAGGGUGAUCGGCCACACAGGAAAUGAGACACGGUACAGACUCCUGCGGGAGGCAGAAGUAGGGAAUCUUCCGCAAUGGGCGAAAGCCUGACAGAGUAAGACCGCGUGUGUGAUGAAGGUCUUCGGUUCGUAAAACUCUGUUAUUAGGGAAGAACAAAUGUGUGAGUAAUUAUGCUCGUCUUGACGGUACCUAAACAGAAAGCAACGGCUAACGACGUG